UACGUAGGUGGCAAGCGUUAUCCGGAAUUAUUGGGCGUAAAGCGCGCGUAGGCGGUUUUUUAAGUCUGAUGUGAAAGCCCACGGCUCAACCGUGGAGGGUCAUUGGAAACUGGAAAACUUGAGUGCAGAAGAGGAAAGUGGAAUUCCAUGUGUAGCGGUGAAAUGCGCAGAGAUAUGGAGGAACACCAGUGGCGAAGGCGACUUUCUGGUCUGUAACUGACGCUGAUGUGCGAAAGC
Molecule: ribosomal RNA, 237 nt
Filed under: uncultured Staphylococcus sp.
Lineage: Bacteria; Bacillati; Bacillota; Bacilli; Caryophanales; Staphylococcaceae
Description: partial 16S ribosomal RNA
Rfam family: Bacterial small subunit ribosomal RNA
Source: RNAcentral